This 928-nucleotide ribosomal RNA is filed under the name bacterium 1153. Its description in RNAcentral is "bacterial SSU rRNA". It matches the Rfam family "Bacterial small subunit ribosomal RNA", at positions 111 to 1034 of the family's 1533-position model. The record is from RNAcentral.
UAAUGCUUAGGAAUCUGCCUAUUAGUGGGGGACAACAUUUCGAAAGGAAUGCUAAUACCGCAUACGUCCUACGGGAGAAAGCAGGGGAUCUUCGGACCUUGCGCUAAUANAUGAGCCUAAGUCGGAUUAGCUAGUUGGUGGGGUAAAGGCCUACCAAGGCGACGAUCUGUAGCGGGUCUGAGAGGAUGAUCCGCCACACUGGGACUGAGACACGGCCCANACUCCUACGGGAGGCAGCAGUGGGGAAUAUUGGACAAUGGGCGCAAGCCUGAUCCAGCCAUGCCGCGUGUGUGAAGAAGGCCUUAUGGUUGUAAAGCACUUUAAGCGAGGAGGAGGCUACUCUAGUUAAUACCUAGAGAUAGUGGACGUUACUCGCAGAAUAAGCACCGGCUAACUCUGUGCCAGCAGCCGCGGUAAUACAGAGGGUGCAAGCGUUAAUCGGAUUUACUGGGCGUAAAGCGCGCGUAGGCGGCUAAUUAAGUCAAAUGUGAAAUCCCCGAGCUUAACUUGGGAAUUGCAUUCGAUACUGGUUAGCUAGAGUGUGGGAGAGGAUGGUAGAAUUCCAGGUGUAGCGGUGAAAUGCGUANAGAUCUGGAGGAAUACCGAUGGCGAAGGCAGCCAUCUGGCCUAACACUGACGCUGAGGUGCGAAAGCAUGGGGAGCAAACAGGAUUAGAUACCCUGGUAGUCCAUGCCGUAAACGAUGUCUACUAGCCGUUGGGGCCUUUGAGGCUUUAGUGGCGCANCUAACGCGAUAAGUAGACCGCCUGGGGAGUACGGUCGCAAGACUAAAACUCAAAUGAAUUGACGGGGGCCCGCACAAGCGGUGGAGCAUGUGGUUUAAUUCGAUGCAACGCGAANAACCUUACCUGGCCUUGACAUAGUAAGAACUUUCCAGANAUGGAUUGGUGCCUUCGGGAACUUACAUA